Molecule: ribosomal RNA, 1341 nt
Filed under: uncultured bacterium
Lineage: Bacteria
Description: partial 16S ribosomal RNA
Rfam family: Bacterial small subunit ribosomal RNA
Source: RNAcentral
GACGAACUCUGGCGGCGUGCUUAACACAUGCAAGUCGAACGGUAAGGCUCCAGCUUGCUGGGGUACACGAGUGGCGAACGGGUGAGUAACACGUGGGUGACCUGCCCUGCACUUCGGGAUAAGCCUGGGAAACUGGGUCUAAUACCGGAUAGGACCGCACCGUGAGGGUGUGGUGGAAAGUUUUUUCGGUGUGGGAUGGGCCCGCGGCCUAUCAGCUUGUUGGUGGGGUAAUGGCCUACCAAGGCGGCGACGGGUAGCCGGCCUGAGAGGGUGGACGGCCACAUUGGGACUGAGACACGGCCCAGACUCCUACGGGAGGCAGCAGUGGGGAAUAUUGCACAAUGGGCGGAAGCCUGAUGCAGCGACGCCGCGUGGGGGAUGACGGCCUUCGGGUUGUAAACUCCUUUCACCAUCGACGAAGGGUUUCUGACGGUAGAUGGAGAAGAAGCACCGGCUAACUACGUGCCAGCAGCCGCGGUAAUACGUAGGGUGCGAGCGUUGUCCGGAAUUACUGGGCGUAAAGAGCUCGUAGGUGGUUUGUCGCGUCGUCUGUGAAAUUCCGGGGCUUAACUCCGGGCGUGCAGGCGAUACGGGCAUAACUUGAGUACUGUAGGGGAGACUGGAAUUCCUGGUGUAGCGGUGAAAUGCGCAGAUAUCAGGAGGAACACCGGUGGCGAAGGCGGGUCUCUGGGCAGUAACUGGCGCUGAGGAGCGAAAGCAUGGGGAGCGAACAGGAUUAGAUACCCUGGUAGUCCAUGCCGUAAACGGUGGGCGCUAGGUGUGGGUUUCCUUCCACGGGAUCCGUGCCGUAGCUAACGCAUUAAGCGCCCCGCCUGGGGAGUACGGCCGCAAGGCUAAAACUCAAAGGAAUUGACGGGGGCCCGCACAAGCGGCGGAGCAUGUGGAUUAAUUCGAUGCAACGCGAAGAACCUUACCUGGGCUUGACAUAUACAGGAUCGCGCCAGAGAUGGUGUUUCCCUUGUGGCUUGUAUACAGGUGGUGCAUGGUUGUCGUCAGCUCGUGUCGUGAGAUGUUGGGUUAAGUCCCGCAACGAGCGCAACCCUUGUCUUAUGUUGCCAGCACGUUGUGGUGGGGACUCGUAAGAAACUGCCGGGGUUAACUCGGAGGAAGGUGGGGAUGACGUCAAAUCAUCAUGCCCCUUAUGUCCAGGGCUUCACACAUGCUACAAUGGUCGGUACAGUGGGUUGCCAGUCCGUGAGGGCGAGCUAAUCCCGCAAAGCCGGUCUCAGUUCGGAUCGGGGUCUGCAACUCGACCCCGUGAAGUCGGAGUCGCUAGUAAUCGCAGAUCAGCAACGCUGCGGUGAAUACGUUCCCGGGCCU